This 426-nucleotide ribosomal RNA is filed under the name Vibrio alginolyticus. RNAcentral's name for it is "bacterial SSU rRNA". It matches the Rfam family "Bacterial small subunit ribosomal RNA", at positions 258 to 676 of the family's 1533-position model. The record is from RNAcentral. Lineage: Bacteria; Pseudomonadati; Pseudomonadota; Gammaproteobacteria; Vibrionales; Vibrionaceae.
UAAGGGCUCACCAAGGCGACGAUCCCUAGCUGGUCUGAGAGGAUGAUCAGCCACACUGGAACUGAGACACGGUCCAGACUCCUACGGGAGGCAGCAGUGGGGAAUAUUGCACAAUGGGCGCAAGCCUGAUGCAGCCAUGCCGCGUGUGUGAAGAAGGCCUUCGGGUUGUAAAGCACUUUCAGUCGUGAGGAAGGUGGUAUUGUUAAUAGCAGNAUCAUUUGACGUUAGCGACAGAAGAAGCACCGGCUAACUCCGUGCCAGCAGCCGCGGUAAUACGGAGGGUGCGAGCGUUAAUCGGAAUUACUGGGCGUAAAGCGCAUGCAGGUGGUUUGUUAAGUCAGAUGUGAAAGCCCGGGGCUCAACCUCGGAAUAGCAUUUGAAACUGGCAGACUAGAGUACUGUAGAGGGGGGUAGAAUUUCAGGUGU